CCUACGUGGAGCUGCAGUGGGGAAUAUUGGACAAUGGGCGAAAGCCUGAUCCAGCCAUGCCGCGUGUGUGAAGAAGGCCUUCGGGUUGUAAAGCACUUUCAGUGGGGAAGAAAGCCUUGGGGCUAAUACCCUCGAGGAAGGACAUCACCCACAGAAGAAGCACCGGCUAACUCCGUGCCAGCAGCCGCGGUAAUACGGAGGGUGCGAGCGUUAAUCGGAAUUACUGGGCGUAAAGCGCGCGUAGGCGGUCUGAUAAGCCGGUUGUGAAAGCCCCGGGCUCAACCUGGGAACGGCAUCCGGAACUGUCAGGCUAGAGUGCAGGAGAGGAAGGUAGAAUUCCCGGUGUAGCGGUGAAAUGCGUAGAGAUCGGGAGGAAUACCAGUGGCGAAGGCGGCCUUCUGGACUGACACUGACGCUGAGGUGCGAAAGCGUGGGUAGCAAACAGGAUUAGAUACCCUGGUAGUC
Molecule: ribosomal RNA, 465 nt
Filed under: Vreelandella stevensii
Lineage: Bacteria; Pseudomonadati; Pseudomonadota; Gammaproteobacteria; Oceanospirillales; Halomonadaceae
Description: partial 16S ribosomal RNA
Rfam family: Bacterial small subunit ribosomal RNA
Source: RNAcentral